Molecule: ribosomal RNA, 964 nt
Filed under: uncultured organism
Description: bacterial SSU rRNA
Rfam family: Bacterial small subunit ribosomal RNA
Source: RNAcentral
CGCGGUAAGACGUAGGACGCGAGCGUUAUCCGGAUUUACUGGGCGUAAAGCGUGUGUAGGCGGCGUGACAAGUUGGGCGUGAAAGCCCCGUGCUCAACGCGGGGAGCACGCACAAUACUGUCAGGCUAGAGGGCACCAGAGGGGUGUGGAAUUCCCGGAGUAGCGGUAAAAUGCGCAGAUAUCGGGAGGAACACCGGUGGCGAAAGCGGCACCCUGGGGUGCGCCUGACGCUGAGAGACGACAGCUAGGGGAGCGAACAGGAUUAGAGACCCUGGUAGUCCUAGCCGUAAACGAUGGAUGCUAGGUGUAGGAGUGAAGAGCUUCUGUGCCGCAGCGAACGCGAUAAGCAACCCGCCUGGGGAGUACGGCCGCAAGGUUAAAACUCAAACGAAUUGACGGGGACCCGCACAAGCAGCGGAGCGUGUGGUUUAAUUCGAUGCUACACGAAGAACCUUACCUGGGAUUGACAUAUGGGUGGUAGUGAUCCGAAAGGAGAGCGACCCUUCGGGGAGCCUAUACAGGUGCUGCAUGGCUGUCGUCAGCUCGUGCCGUGAGGUGUCGGGUUAAGUCCCGUAACGAGCGCAACCCUUGUCCUUAGUUACAAGUGUCUAAGGGGACUGCCGGCGGGAAGCCGGAGGAAGGUGGGGAUGACGUCAAGUCAGCAUGGCCCUUAUAUCCAGGGCGACACACACGCUACAAUGGUCGGUACAGAGGGCAGCGAAGCCGCGAGGUGGAGCGAAACCCAGAAAGCCGGUCGUAGUUCGGAUUGCAGGCUGCAACUCGCCUGCAUGAAGUUGGAGUUGCUAGUAACCGCAGGUCAGCCAUACUGCGGUGAUACGUUCCCGGGUCUUGUACACACCGCCCGUCACGUCAUGGGAGUCUGUAACGCCUGAAGGCGGUAGCCUGACCGCAAGGGAGGCGCUGUCGAGGGCGGGGCUGGCAACUGGGACGAAGUCGUAACAAG